GACAGAGGUGCCAAGCGUUAGGCGGAAUCACUGGGCUUAAAGCGUGUGUAGGCGGAUCGUUAAGUGCCUUGUGAAAUCCCAUGGCUUAACCAUGGAACUGCUCGGCAUACUGGCGGUCUUGAGCCAUCUAGGGGCUAACGGAACAAAUGGUGGAGCGGUGAAAUGCGUAGAUAUCAUUUGGAACGCCAAUGGUGAAAACAGGUAGCUGGGGAUGUGCUGACGCUGAGACACGAAAGCCAGGGGAGCGAACGGG
RNAcentral lists this ribosomal RNA (253 nucleotides) under uncultured bacterium. RNAcentral's name for it is "partial 16S ribosomal RNA". It matches the Rfam family "Bacterial small subunit ribosomal RNA", at positions 524 to 776 of the family's 1533-position model. The record is from RNAcentral.